AUAUCAAGCUCAAUUGGUAGGGUGCUUGCCUAAGAUGCCUGAAGCCCUGGGUUCCAUCCCCAGACUGACAUA
This 72-nucleotide transfer RNA is filed under the name Mus musculus (house mouse). Its description in RNAcentral is "tRNA-Leu". Lineage: Eukaryota; Metazoa; Chordata; Mammalia; Rodentia; Muridae. The record is from RNAcentral.